UCCAGACUCCUACGGGAGGCAGCAGUGGGGAAUAUUGGACAAUGGGGGGAACCCUGAUCCAGCGACGCCGCGUGAGUGAAGAAGUAUUUCGGUAUGUAAAGCUCUAUCAGCAGGGAAGAAAGAAAUGACGGUACCUGACUAAGAAGCCCCGGCUAACUACGUGCCAGCAGCCGCGGUAAUACGUAGGGGGCAAGCGUUAUCCGGAUUUACUGGGUGUAAAGGGAGCGUAGACGGCGAUGCAAGUCUGAAGUGAAAGGCGGGGGCCCAACCCCCGGACUGCUUUGGAAACUGUAUGACUGGAGUGCAGGAGAGGUAAGCGGAAUUCCUAGUGUAGCGGUGAAAUGCGUAGAUAUUAGGAGGAACACCAGUGGCGAAGGCGGCUUACUGGACUGUAACUGACGUUGAGGCUCGAAAGCGUGGGGAGCAAACAGGAUUAGAUACCCGCGUAA
Molecule: ribosomal RNA, 449 nt
Filed under: uncultured bacterium
Lineage: Bacteria
Description: bacterial SSU rRNA
Rfam family: Bacterial small subunit ribosomal RNA
Source: RNAcentral